CAAGGGGGUCAUCCCGACUUACCAACCCGAUGCAAACUGCGAAUACCGGAGAAUGUUAUCACGGGAGACACACGGCGGGUGCUAACGUCCGUCGUGAAGAGGGAAACAACCCAGACCGCCAGCUAAGGUCCCAAAGUCAUGGUUAAGUGGGAAACGAUGUGGGAAGGCCCAGACAGCCAGGAUGUUGGCUUAGAAGCAGCCAUCAUUUAAAGAAAGCGUAAUAGCUCACUGGUCGAGUCGGCCUGCGCGGAAGAUGUAACGGGGCUAAACCAUGCACCGAAGCUGCGGCAGCGACGCUGAUGCGUUGUUGGGUAGGGGAGCGUUCUGUAAGCCUGUGAAGGUGUGCUGUGAGGUAUGCUGGAGGUAUCAGAAGUGCGAAUGCUGACAUAAGUAACGAUAAAGCGGGUGAAAAGCCCGCUCGCCGGAAGACCAAGGGUUCCUGUCCAACGUUAAUCGGGGCAGGGUGAGUCGACCCCUAAGGCGAGGCCGAAAGGCGUAGUCGAUGGGAAACAGGUUAAUAUUCCUGUACUUGGUGUUACUGCGAAGGGGGGACGGAGAAGGCUAUGUUGGCCGGGCGACGGUUGUCCCGGUUUAAGCGUGUAGGCUGGUUUUCCAGGCAAAUCCGGAAAACUAAGGCUGAGGCGUGAUGACGAGGCACUACGGUGCUGAAGCAACAAAUGCCCUGCUUCCAGGAAAAGCCUCUAAGCAUCAGGUAACAUCAAAUCGUACCCCAAACCGACACAGGUGGUCAGGUAGAGAAUACCAAGGCGCUUGAGAGAACUCGGGUGAAGGAACUAGGCAAAAUGGUGCCGUAACUUCGGGAGAAGGCACGCUGAUAUGUAGGUGAAGUCCCUCGCGGAUGGAGCUGAAAUCAGUCGAAGAUACCAGCUGGCUGCAACUGUUUAUUAAAAACACAGCACUGUGCAAACACGAAAGUGGACGUAUACGGUGUGACGCCUGCCCGGUGCCGGAAGGUUAAUUGAUGGGGUCAGCGCAAGCGAAGCUCUUGAUCGAAGCCCCGGUAAACGGCGGCCGUAACUAUAACGGUCCUAAGGUAGCGAAAUUCCUUGUCGGGUAAGUUCCGACCUGCACGAAUGGCGUAAUGAUGGCCAGGCUGUCUCCACCCGAGACUCAGUGAAAUUGAACUCGCUGUGAAGAUGCAGUGUACCCGCGGCAAGACGGAAAGACCCCGUGAACCUUUACUAUAGCUUGACACUGAACAUUGAGCCUUGAUGUGUAGGAUAGGUGGGAGGCUUUGAAGUGUGGACGCCAGUCUGCAUGGAGCCGACCUUGAAAUACCACCCUUUAAUGUUUGAUGUUCUAACGUUGACCCGUAAUCCGGGUUGCGGACAGUGUCUGGUGGGUAGUUUGACUGGGGCGGUCUCCUCCUAAAGAGUAACGGAGGAGCACGAAGGUUGGCUAAUCCUGGUCGGACAUCAGGAGGUUAGUGCAAUGGCAUAAGCCAGCUUGACUGCGAGCGUGACGGCGCGAGCAGGUGCGAAAGCAGGUCAUAGUGAUCCGGUGGUUCUGAAUGGAAGGGCCAUCGCUCAACGGAUAAAAGGUACUCCGGGGAUAACAGGCUGAUACCGCCCAAGAGUUCAUAUCGACGGCGGUGUUUGGCACCUCGAUGUCGGCUCAUCACAUCCUGGGGCUGAAGUAGGUCCCAAGGGUAUGGCUGUUCGCCAUUUAAAGUGGUACGCGAGCUGGGUUUAGAACGUCGUGAGACAGUUCGGUCCCUAUCUGCCGUGGGCGCUGGAGAACUGAGGGGGGCUGCUCCUAGUACGAGAGGACCGGAGUGGACGCAUCACUGGUGUUCGGGUUGUCAUGCCAAUGGCACUGCCCGGUAGCUAAAUGCGGAAGAGAUAAGUGCUGAAAGCAUCUAAGCACGAAACUUGCCCCGAGAUGAGUUCUCCCUGACUCCUUGAGAGUCCUGAAGGAACGUUGAAGACGACGACGUUGAUAGGCCGGGUGUGUAAGCGCAGCGAUGCGUUGAGCUAACCGGUACUAAUGAACCGUGAGGCUUAACCUUACAACGCCGAAGGUGUUU
Molecule: ribosomal RNA, 2047 nt
Filed under: Shigella flexneri
Lineage: Bacteria; Pseudomonadati; Pseudomonadota; Gammaproteobacteria; Enterobacterales; Enterobacteriaceae
Description: partial 23S ribosomal RNA
Rfam family: Bacterial large subunit ribosomal RNA
Source: RNAcentral